Podarcis lilfordi (Lilford's wall lizard) is the source of this 188-nucleotide non-coding RNA. Lineage: Eukaryota; Metazoa; Chordata; Lepidosauria; Squamata; Lacertidae. The record is from the annotation of a GenBank genome assembly.
UCCAUAUUAUGCAUUAAAGAUACAUGGGUGCUCAAGACCUACUCCAAAGGUGACAAGUGCAUUUUAGUAUAUUACUGAAAGAUCGUUGGCUUCCCUGCUCAAAAUUUGUGUGUGUGUGUGUGUGUGUGUGUGUGUGUGUGUGAGAGAGAGAGAGAGAGAGAGAGAGAUGUUUUCUAUCACUACUGCAA